UACAGAGGUCCCAAGCGUUGUUCGGAUUCAUUGGGCGUAAAGGGUGCGUAGGCGGCGCGGUAAGUCGGGUGUGAAAUCUCGGAGCUUAACUCCGAAACUGCAUUCGAUACUGCCGUGCUUGAGGACUGGAGAGGAGACUGGAAUUUACGGUGUAGCGGUGAAAUGCGUAGAUAAUCGUAAGGAAGACCAGUGGCGAAGGCGGGUCUCUGGACAGUUCCUGACGCUGAGGCACGAAGGCCAGGGGAGCAAACGGG
RNAcentral lists this ribosomal RNA (254 nucleotides) under uncultured bacterium. RNAcentral describes it as "partial 16S ribosomal RNA". It matches the Rfam family "Bacterial small subunit ribosomal RNA", at positions 524 to 776 of the family's 1533-position model. The record is from RNAcentral.